This is a long non-coding RNA of Cyprinus carpio carpio, 3561 nucleotides long. NCBI's taxonomy places the organism in Eukaryota, Metazoa, Chordata, Actinopteri, Cypriniformes, Cyprinidae. The record is from Ensembl.
AUGCCUGCACGACUGGAUUGUGGAGUAGGUCUUUUGAUUGGCUAUGAUUGCUCCAGAGCAUUGGCACCUCGACAGGUCAUCAAUGGAGGUAAUGAAGAGCCUUAUGCCAUCAAGACCGAUCUGGGCUGGAGCAUCAUAGGAGGUACUCCACAUAGUGUGAACUCCAAGGAUGUGACUGGUAUAUGCCACCGCAUAUUAGUCAGGGAGCUUCCCCCUGUUACACCUGCUGCUGUUAUUAGAGCCCUUGAGCUGGAUUUUGUAGAUAGUCAGUUAGGAGAAAAGAGCAUAUCACAGGACGAUGUUCAGUUUUUGCAGGUUUUAAAGGAAGGUGUUCAUCACAAUGAAUGUGGCCAUCUUGAGAUGCCCCUUCCUUUUAAAACACGUCCCCAACUUCCAAAUAAUAAGAAGCUUGCAUUAGUACGGCUGAAGCAUCUUAAAAGAAAACUGGACAAGGAUCCUGAAUUCAAACGUGAUUACAUGAUGUUUAUGGAAGGUGUCUUAAGAGAUGGGGAUGCAGAAAUAGCUGAUGAGCAACCAGAUAUGGGAAACUUGUGGUAUAUUCCCCACCAAGGUGUUUAUCACCCAAAGAAACCAAAUAAGAUCAGGAUAGUCUUUGAUUGUUCAGCCAAGUAUGAAGGUACCGCUUUGAAUGAUUAUUUAUUGACUGGGCCCGAUCUUACCAAUGGGUUGACUGGAGUGCUUUGUCGCUUCCGUAAACAUCCAAUUGUUGUCAUGUGUGACAUUGAGAAAAUGUUUCAUAGAUUUCAUGUCAUUAGGGAAGAUCGGGAUUACCUGCGUUUUCUGUGGUGGUCAAAUGGAGAUAUAGACACAGAGCCCAGAGAAUAUCGAAUGAAAGUACAUCUCUUUGGAGCAUCAUCCUCCCCAGGUUGUGCCAAUUAUGGCCUGAAGUAUCUUGCCAGCAUUAAUGAGAGUGAGUAUCCUUUGGCUGCUAGUUUUAUUAGAAAUAAUUUCUAUGUAGAUGAUGGCCUCAUAAGCCUGGAAUCUGUUGAGCUGGCAAUUAGGCUGGUGGAAGAAGCUCAAGCUCUGUGUGCUAAAGGAAAGUUGCGCCUUCACAAAUUCAUUUCCAACAAUAGAGAAGUGCUGGCGUCCAUCAGUGAGAGUGACCGUGCUGUCGAGGUGAAGAACGUUGAUUUCCAUAAUGACUAUCUUCCAGUAAAAAAUGUUCUGGGAGUAAGGUGGGAUGUGGAGAAUGAUGCCUUUACCUUUAAUGCUGUGCUUGAUGAGAAACCUGCCACACGGCGUGGAAUUCUUUCCAUUGUGGCUUCUAUUUAUGAUCCAUUGGGGUUCUUGGCUCCAUUCAUCAUAUCUGGCAAGAAGGUGCUGCAAGAGAUGUGUCACAAGGGCAUCAGUUGGGAUGAACCACUACCCAUUGAGUUGAGAUCAAGGUGGGAGAGCUGGCUGAAGGAUUUGUCCAAUCUAGAAAAGAUACAGAUCCCAAGAUGUUUUACACCUUCAAACUUUGGGAAGAUCCUGAGGACGGAGUUGCACCACUUUUCUGAUGCAAGUAGUAAAGGUUAUGGUCAGUGCUCCUAUAUCAGACUGGUGAGUGAUACCAAGGUACAUUGUGCCUUAGUCAUGGGGAAAGCGAGAGUUGCCCCAACGAAAGUUGUCACCAUACCAAGAUUAGAGUUAACAGCAGCAGUGAUUUCUGCUGCUGUGAGUAGUAUGCUGAAGGAGGAGCUGGCUUUUAAAGUUGACAGAGAAUAUUUUUGGACAGAUUCCCAAGUAGUCCUUGGUUACAUCAAUAAUGAAGCCCGAAGAUUUCAUGUCUUUGUUGCAAACCGUGUACAGAGAAUUCGGGAGUCCACCGAUCCGAGACAGUGGUAUUACAUCAAUACAGAAGAAAACCCUGCUGACCAUGCCUCGAGGGGCCUCACGAUAGAAGAGCUUAUUAAUUCAAACUGGCUCACAGGGCCCAGAUUCCUCUGGGAGAAAGAGGUGGUUGCUAAACCAGGUAUGUUAGAGCUGUCAGUGGGUGACCCUGAGGUCAAGGCUGUCCAAGUUUUGAAGACUGAGGCUAUAAUUCAAGUGGAUUUUCAAGAGCGACUAGCACGGUUCUCAAAAUGGACUACAGCUGUGAACGUUAUUGCCCGGAUUCAAAGAUUAGUAAAGAAGUUAAAGAUAUCAGAGCCUUUAAGUGUGGAGGAGAGAAGAAGAGCUUCAUUCACGCUUAUACGUUUGGCACAACAGGAUGCCUUUAAAGAAGAGUUGUAUGUACUCGGCCAUGAAUCUGGGAAGUUGCCUUGUAACCAUCCUCUGUAUCAGCUUGAUCCAUUUAUGCAAGAUGGAAUAAUGAGGGUGGGAGGACGACUGAGGAGGGCAUCUGCCCCUCUUGAAUUGCGGCAUCCAGCAAUCCUUCCAAAGGAUGGGAUCAUCACGCGCCUUAUUCUGGCACACCAUCAUCAAAAAGUUCAACAUCAAGGCAGGGGACAGACUCUGAAUGAAUUGCGAGCCAAUGGCUUCUGGAUUACUGGUGGCAGCAAGAUGGUAGCCCAGUAUAUACGGCAGUGUGUUCCUUGUAGGAGAGCUCGUAGGCCUCCAGAACAACAACGGAUGGCAGAUCUGCCCCAUGACCGUACUGAUCCCUCCCCGCCAUUUGCUUAUUGUGGCAUGGACUGUUUUGGUCCUUUUUACACUAAGCAAGGUCGUAAGGAAUGUAAACGUUAUGGUCUUCUUUUUACUUGUCUCUGCUCCAGAGCUGUACAUAUAGAGAUGUUGGAAGACAUGACAACUGAUGCAUUCAUUAAUGCCUUACGAUGUUUUAUAUCUAUCCGUGGAGCUGUCAGACAGAUUAGAUCAGACCAAGGAACUAACUUCGUAGGGGCCAAGAGUGAGUUGAAGAAUGCCUUAAAAGAAGUGAGUGAAGAGAGAGUGGCAGCGUAUUUGGCAACCAAGCAGUGUGAUUUCUGUCUGAAUGCACCCAGUUCAAGUCAUGCUGGAGGUGUUUGGGAGCGGCAGAUACGAACUGUUAAAGGUGUAAUGAGCUUUGUUUUGGCACAGGGUGCUGGGAGACUAAAUGAUGCUUCUUUACGUACAUUCUUUUAUGAGACUAUGUCUAUAGUCAAUAACCGUCCAUUGACUGUAGAUGGCCUCAUUGAUCCCAAAAGCUUAGAGCCUCUAACCCCCAACCACCUGCUUACCAUGAAGUCAUCUGUUCCACUCCCUCCACCAGGUAAAUUCGUUAAAGAAGAUCUUCAUGCGAAGAAACGCUGGAGGCAGGUGCAGUAUUUAUGUGAACAGUUUUGGAGCAGGUGGAGGACAGAAUAUCUUGCCAACAUUUCCCUCAGGCAAAAAUGGCACGCACUAAGACGGAAUGUGCAAGAUGGUGAUAUUGUCAUUGUGAAGGAAGGGGAAGUCCCUCGUAACGAAUGGAGGUUGGCUAGGGUUCUUAAAGUUUGCAGGGAUGAUGAUGGAUUGGUGCGGAGGGCCACAAUACAGAUGGGGAAUCGGGGGUUGGGAAAAAGGGGUGAACGCCUCACUAAACCCUCUAUUGUUGAACGCCCUAUUCAAAAGUUAGUAGUUCUUGUAGCUAAAAGUUGA